GGCUCAUUAAAUCAGUUAUAGUUUACUUGAUCAUAUUUUCUUACUUGGAUAACCGUAGUAAUUCUAGAGCUAAUACAUGCAAAAAAUCUGGACCUCUUUUGAGGAAAAGAUGAAUUUAUUAGAUUAGAACCGACGCAAACUUUUUAAGUUUGAGUUAUGGUGAUUCAUAAUAACUAAUCGAAUCGCAGAGACAUAUUUUUUAAAUUUAUUUAAAAAAGUCGGCGAUGAUACAUACAAAUUUCUGCCCUAUCAACUUUCGAUGGUAAUAUAGAGGAUUACCAUGGUUAUAACGGGUAACGGGGAAUUAGGGUUCGAUUCCGGAGAGGGGGCCUGAGAGAUGGCCACCACUUCCAAGGAAGGCAGCAGGCGCGCAAAUUACCCAAUCUCAAUUCGAGGAGGUAGUGACAAGAAAUACCAGUACAGGGCCCAUCGGGUACUGUGAUUGGAAUGAAUACAAUUUAAAAACCUUAAUGAGGAACGAUUGGAGGGCAAGUCUGGUGCCAGCAGCCGCGGUAAUUCCAGCUCCAAUAGUGUAUAUUAAAGUUGCUGCAGUUAAAAAGCUCGUAGUUGGAUUUCGGUAAAUGAAAAUUAAAAGUCCAUCUUUUAGAUGUGUACUUAAUUUUUAUUUCCUUCUUUUUGAAUUCACUCCUAUUUUAAUAUUUAUAUUAUUUAGGAUCAAAGUGGUUCAAAUCUUUUACUGUGAAAAAAUUAGAGUGUUCAAAGCAGGCGUAACCUAGCCUUUGAAUAUAUUAGCAUGGGAUAAUGAAAUAGGAUUUUGGUCCUACUUUCGUUGGUUUCUAGGGCUAAAAUAAUGAUUAAUAGGGAUAGUUGGGGUCACUAGUAUUUAAUUGUCAGAGGUGAAAUUCUAAGAUUUAUUAAAGACUAACUACUGCGAAAGCAUUUGACAAGGAUGUUUUCAUUAAUCAAGAACGAAAGUUGGGGGAUCGAAGAUGAUCAGAUACCGUCGUAGUCUCAACCAUAAACUAUGCCGACCAAGGAUCCGGGGGUGUUAAAUAUGGAUGACUCUCCGGGCACUUAUAGAGAAAUCAUAAGUAUUUGGGCUCCGGGGGGAGUAUGGUCGCAAGGCUGAAACUUAAAGGAAUUGACGGAAGGGCACCACAAGGAGUGGAACCUGCGGUUUAAUUUGACCCAACACGGGGAAACUUACCAGGUCCAGACACAGUGAGGAUUGACAGAUUGAGAGUUCUUUCUUGAUUCUGUGAGUGGUGGUGCAUGGCCGUUUCUAGUUGGUGGAGUGAUUUGUCUGGUUAAUUCCGUUAACGAACGAGACCUUAACCUAUUAAAUAGUUGCGCGAACCCAGGUUCUUUAACCAUUCCUUCUUUAGGGGGGGCGUGGUAUCAUUGUUUUUCAUGUCACCUUAGGGUGGCAUGUUGGGCAAUGAUAGGGCCUGAGAUGAGUUAGUGAUAUUAGCUUCUUAGAGGGACUACUUGCAUCCUUAGCAAGGGGAGGUUUGAGGCAAAAACAGGUCUGUGAUGCCCUUCGAUGUUCUGGGCUGCACGCGCGUUACACUGGCGCAUGCAAAGAGUGUAAAAUUCCUGUCCCGAUGGGGUUGGGAAAUCUUUUUAAAGUGCGUCGUGAUGGG
Molecule: ribosomal RNA, 1604 nt
Filed under: uncultured soil eukaryote
Lineage: Eukaryota
Description: SSU rRNA
Rfam family: Eukaryotic small subunit ribosomal RNA
Source: RNAcentral